This 835-nucleotide ribosomal RNA is filed under the name uncultured organism. RNAcentral describes it as "bacterial SSU rRNA". It matches the Rfam family "Bacterial small subunit ribosomal RNA", at positions 608 to 1455 of the family's 1533-position model. The record is from RNAcentral.
CUUAACUGUGGAAUUGCCUUUGAUACUGCUCACCUUGAGUCCAGCUGAGGUAGGCGGAAUGUAGUAUGUAGCGGUGAAAUGCUUAGAUAUACUACAGAACACCGAUUGCGAAGGCAGCUUACCAAACUGGCACUGACGCUCAGGCACGAAAGCGUGGGGAGCGAACAGGAUUAGAUACCCUGGUAGUCCACGCCGUAAACGUUGAUCACUCGUUGUUGGCAAUACACCGUCAGCGACCUAGCUAAUGCGCUAAGUGAUCCACCUGGGGAGUACGAUCGCAAGGUUGAAACUCAAAGGAAUUGACGGGGGCCCGCACAAGCGGAGGAGCAUGUGGUUUAAUUCGAUGAUACGCGAGGAACCUUACCUGGGCUUAAAUGUAGUGUGCAUUCCCGUGAAAACGGGAUUUCCUUCGGGACCCACUACAAGGUGCUGCAUGGUUGUCGUCAGCUCGUGCCGUGAGGUGUCGGGUUAAGUCCCAUAACGAGCGCAACCCCUAUCUUUAGUUGCUAACAGGUCAUGCUGAGGACUCUAAAGAAACUGCCCGCGCAAGCGGUGAGGAAGGUGGGGAUGACGUCAAAUCAGCACGGCCCUUAUGUCCAGGGCUACACACGUGCUACAAUGGCAGGUACAGUGGGCAGCUAUCACGCAAGUGAAUGCUAAUCUCUAAAACCUGUCUCAGUCCGGAUUGGAGUCUGCAACCCGACUCCAUGAAGCUGGAUUCGCUAGUAAUCGCACAUCAGCCAUGGUGCGGUGAAUACGUUCCCGGGCCUUGUACACACCGCCCGUCAAGCCAUGGAAGCUGGGAGUACCUGAAGUCUGUAACCGUAAGGAGCGG